Molecule: ribosomal RNA, 793 nt
Filed under: uncultured bacterium
Lineage: Bacteria
Description: bacterial SSU rRNA
Rfam family: Bacterial small subunit ribosomal RNA
Source: RNAcentral
AGAGUUUGAUCAUGGCUCAGAACGAACGCUGGCGGCGUGCCUAACACAUGCAAGUCGCACGAGAAAGUACUUCGGUACGAGUAGAGUGGCGCACGGGUGAGUAAUACAUGGGAACGUUCCUUUAGGUGGGGGAUAACUGCUGGAAACGGCAGCUAAUACCGCAUAGUCUCUAACGAGUAAAGAUGCCCUCUAUUUAUAAGGUAUCGCCAAAAGAUCGGCCCAUGUCCCAUUAGCUAGUUGGCAGGGUAAUGGCCUACCAAGGCUACGAUGGGUAGCUGGUCUGAGAGGACGAUCAGCCACACUGGAACUGAGACACGGUCCAGACUCCUACGGGAGGCAGCAGUGGGGAAUCUUGCGCAAUGGGCGAAAGCCUGACGCAGCAACGCCGCGUGAGUGAAGAAGGCCCUUGGGUUGUAAAGCUCUUUCGACUGGGGAGAAGGGUUAUCCUGCGAAUAGUUGGAUAAUUUGACGGUACCAGCAGAAGAAGCACCGGCUAACUCCGUGCCAGCAGCCGCGGUAAUACGGAGGGUGCAAGCGUUGUUCGGAAUUAUUGGGCGUAAAGCGAACGUAGGCGGGCUUGUAAGUAGAUUGUGAAAUCCCUGGGCUUAACCCGGGAAGUGCUGUCUAAACUGCAAGUCUUGAAUUCUCGAGAGGGUGGUGGAAUUCCUGGAGUAGUAGUGAAAUACGUAGAUAUCAGGAGGAACACCGGAGGCGAAGGCGGCCACCUGGCGAGACAUUGACGCUAAGGUUCGAAAGCGUGGGUAGCAAACAGGAUUAGAUACCCUAGUAGUCC